GAGUGAAGAGGGAAGAGCUCAUCAUUGGAAUCUGGCAGUGUUUUCACUGUCCGAGUUGUAGAUGAGGAGUAGUCCAUCUGGACUGCAUGGCGUCCAAGUACAAUAGGCCGUCAGUGGGACAUCAUAGAGGGUGACAAUCCCGUCCUUGAUGCCAAUGUGCAAGUCCGUUACGAUGGCUAUCUCAGAGAGUCGAGCAGUUUGGGAUUUGCUGCUUAAACAUGGGAGGUAGAUUCCUUCUAAAGCUAAAUACAGGCGAGAGACCGAUAGAGAACAAGUACCGCAAGGGAAAGAUGAAAUAGCACUCUGUGAAGGGAGUCAAAAGACGUGAAAUUGUUGCGAGAGAAGCGAUUCAAGUCAGCGUAGCUAGGCCCAUCAAGCCUCUUGCUUUGGACUAGCUUUGCCAGCGGUCUUGUCCUAAGAGACUUGACUUGUUAAUAUGUCCAGCCUGGUAUGCACAGGUAGCCCCAUCGGGGCCAGUGACAUGGCUGGUGGAAUGGCUUGCAAUCGACCCGUCUUGAAACACGGACCAAGGAGUCUAACAUGUAUGCGAGUAUAAGGGUGGCAAACCCGUAUGCGCAAUGAAAGUGAUUUUCGGUGAUUGAGAAUGGCCUGAUGACCAGACAAGCAAUAUUAUGUCCCUCGUACGGCCAUUGCCCAAGUUCCGUGGUAGAUCCCACGAACAUGGAGUUGGAGCAUACAUGCUAGGACCCGAAAGAUGGUGAACUAUGCCUGGACAAAGCGAAGCCAAAGGAAACUCUGGNGGAGGCUUGUAGCGAUUCUGACGUGCAAAUCGAUCGUCUGAUCUGGGUAUAGGGGCGAAAGACUAAUC
This 829-nucleotide ribosomal RNA is filed under the name Cantharellus formosus. Its description in RNAcentral is "LSU rRNA". It matches the Rfam family "Eukaryotic large subunit ribosomal RNA", at positions 91 to 936 of the family's 3401-position model. Lineage: Eukaryota; Fungi; Basidiomycota; Agaricomycetes; Cantharellales; Hydnaceae. The record is from RNAcentral.